GGGCGAUUAGCUCAGYUGGUUAGAGCGCAUGCUUGACGUGCAUGAGGUCAGAGGUUCGACUCCUCUAUCGCCCACUA
Molecule: transfer RNA, 77 nt
Filed under: Fidelibacterota bacterium
Lineage: Bacteria; Pseudomonadati; Fidelibacterota
Description: Candidatus Marinimicrobia bacterium tRNA-Val
Rfam family: tRNA
About the family: Transfer RNA (tRNA) molecules are approximately 80 nucleotides in length. Their secondary structure includes four short double-helical elements and three loops (D, anti-codon, and T loops). Further hydrogen bonds mediate the characteristic L-shaped molecular structure. tRNAs have two regions of fundamental functional importance: the anti-codon, which is responsible for specific mRNA codon recognition, and the 3' end, to which the tRNAs corresponding amino acid is attached (by aminoacyl-tRNA synthetases). tRNAs cope with the degeneracy of the genetic code in two manners: having more than one tRNA (with a specific anti-codon) for a particular amino acid; and 'wobble' base-pairing, i.e. permitting non-standard base-pairing at the 3rd anti-codon position.
Source: RNAcentral